UACGAAGGGGGCUAGCGUUGUUCGGAAUUACUGGGCGUAAAGGGCGCGUAGGCGGUUAUACAAGUCAGGCGUGAAAGCCCCGGGCUCAACCUGGGAAUUGCGUUUGAGACUGUAUGGCUUGAGUUCGGGAGAGGUGAGUGGAAUUCCCAGUGUAGAGGUGAAAUUCGUAGAUAUUGGGAAGAACACCGGUGGCGAAGGCGGCUCACUGGACCGACACUGACGCUGAGGCGCGAAAGCGUGGGGAGCAAACAGG
RNAcentral lists this ribosomal RNA (253 nucleotides) under uncultured bacterium. RNAcentral describes it as "partial 16S ribosomal RNA". It matches the Rfam family "Bacterial small subunit ribosomal RNA", at positions 524 to 776 of the family's 1533-position model. The record is from RNAcentral.